CCUACGGGAGGCAGCAGUGGGGAAUCUUGCACAAUGGAGGAAACUCUGAUGCAGCGAUGCCGCGUGAGUGAAGAAGGCCUUUGGGUUGUAAAGCACUUUCAGCGAGGAGGAAAGGUCAGUAGCUAAUAUCUGCUGGCUGUGACGUUACUCGCAGAAGAAGCACCGGCUAACUCCGUGCCAGCAGCCGCGGUAAU
This 194-nucleotide ribosomal RNA is filed under the name uncultured bacterium. RNAcentral describes it as "partial 16S ribosomal RNA". It matches the Rfam family "Bacterial small subunit ribosomal RNA", at positions 338 to 524 of the family's 1533-position model. The record is from RNAcentral.